Molecule: RNA transcript, 7804 nt
Organism: Ziziphus jujuba (common jujube)
Lineage: Eukaryota; Viridiplantae; Streptophyta; Magnoliopsida; Rosales; Rhamnaceae
Exons: 7
Source: RefSeq, a predicted model, not a curated record
AUGUACAUUCCCCUUCAAUUCGCAUUCUCAGGAACCCUAAUGUUUUGUUAAAAAAAUGGCGAUGAUGGCUGAGGAAUCGGGCUCCACCCACCAAGGAGAUGGGUGGUUUUGGUUACGAAAUCGGUCGCAUCUAUGCCCCUACUCGGCAAACAGAGAAAGCUGAAGCAAAUCAAAGAACAAAAAAGGAAAAACCGACCCACCCUAAUCGCCACCGAGACCAAACCCUCGGGAAACCAAACCCUCGAAACCUUCCGUACGGUAUGAAGCAGAGCAAUCUUGCUGGGUCAAUGGUCGUUAUAGAUCAAAGGGCGAGACCCGGAUCUUUGAAUAUUCAUGAAUUCCACAGGAAAUCAAACGUAUGCCUCUUCUAGGAGUGCCUUCUUCCUGUUCCUAAGGCAAAAUCCUGUAAAUCAGAUCUUGCAGAACCUAAACAAUAUCUCAGUUGUGGCUCAGGAUUGCAUCGGUGAAGACUAAGGAUCAUUGCAUGCAUGCAAUCUCUGACCAUUUGUGGGGGGUCAAAAUCCCUUGUCAGUAUGAUCAAGUGCUGAUAUAUCCUGUCCACGUUAGAAAUUUGGCUUCGCAUAUCUCAUUGUUCUCCAAACUUGUUACGAAGGUGAAUUUACACUCUUAAUCCUUGUUGAGGUGCGAAAUUUUAUUUGCUAUACAUUCCUUAAGCAUCUCCCAUAAUUUAAAUUAUUUUCUCAUAUUACAUUGGAUUUUAAUUUCUUACAAAAAUACUCAUUUGGAUUUUAUUGUUGUUUCAAUAUGAAGAAACGUUGUGUCAAAACAAUAAGAAAAAUAACAAAAGAGUUUGUCAACUUCAUUUUAGAUAUUACAUAAAUUCAUAUACAGUGUGUAAAUCUUUAUGUUAGAUGAAUAUUUCUUAUCCUCAAUGAUAUCCAUUCUUGAGAUGCCUCAUAUUUGUGAUUUUAUAAGUAAUUUACUUGUCUGUCUGUUUUAUAAGUAAUAGCUGCACAUUUUGACAACUGUUUCCUGAUUGGAUUGUCAACAUCUGCUUAAUGCUUCUAUGUUGCAUACAAAUUAGAAAAACAAGUCAGGGCCAUGUAAAUAAGAAAGUUUGUAAAAAUAACUCUGUUUAAUAAUAAAACAAAUGAAAUUUUGGGUGUUUGGGUGAAGAGAAAUGCGCGGGGAUUGGCCAAGGUUCUCUUCUUCUCUUGUGUGGGUUGGUGUGCUAUGUGUCCCUCUCUUCAUGUCUCUCAUUUGCUUUCUUUCCCUUUCAAUUUUUUUCUCUCUCCAAUUUCACUCUCUUUCUAUCUCUGCAUUUUGUUUCUGCUUUUCCCUCUCCUCUUUCUCUGUAUCCUUUCUCGCUUGAGUUUAUUUCUCUAUUUGGCUUUUUCUUUACUUUCUCUUUUUUGUAAUCUCUUUACUUUUUCUCACUGCUUUUUCUUUAUACUUUUACCCCCUUUUUCUUCUCUAGUUCUUUCUCAACAACACCCUCUACUUUCUUUCUAGUUUUCUACUCUGUUUCUUUUUUACUUUUUCUUGCUGCAUUUUUUCUUUCACUUUUUGUACUAUUUUUCUCUUGUUAAUUUCUCUAUGCACUUUAUUUCUAGUUUGCUUUCGAAAAUUAUUUAUUCCGUAUGCUAUCAAUGCUUAGUUUUGAUGUCCUUAAAAAAAUUUAAACAUAAUAAACAACCUACUAUUAUAAUAUAUACAAAAUUAAAAAUAAAAAUAAAAAUUGAACAUUAAAAAACCACCCAGUAAACAAUUUAGAAAUUGUGAAGUAAACUAUCAAUGCUUAGUUUUGAUGUCCUUAAAAAAAUUUAAACAUAAUAAACAACCUACUAUUAUAAUAUAUACAAAAUUAAAAAUAAAAAUAAAAAUUGAACAUUAAGAAACCACCCAGUAAACAAUUUAGAAAUUGUGAAGUAAACGAUGCAUGUAGUGAUAAAAAUUUAUAAGAAAUUAAAGACAGUUUUUUUUUUUUUUUUUCCCCAAAAGUGGAAUUUUUUUUUUUUAUUUUUUUUUUGAAAAAGACAAGUUAAGAAUUUUUAUUUUUUAUUUUUUUAUUAUAACAAAAACUAAAAAAACAUUGAAUGUAACAGAAAAAAUUCAAAAGACUGAAAUCCAAAUGCACAAGCUAGGAAAGUAAAGGAGAAUGAACUUGAUGUAAAGAAUAUUAAGAAAAGUAAUUGCUAAAGUAAGAAAUCAACAAAAUUUUGAUAUUGUUUUAAAAGGAAUAUUGCUAAAUUUUAAUAUAUAUUUUUACUCUUUCAUUAAAAAAGCUCUUUUAAGAAAGUGAAAAAACAUGUAACCUAUAAACUGGAUGUUAAGAAAGAAAAUGUUAAGAAGCUAGUAGCUAAAGUAAGAAAUCAGCAAAAUUUUUAUAUUUUUUAAAUGGAUAUUGCUAAAUUUUAAUAUAUAUUUUUAUUCUUUUAUUAAAAAACUUAUGUAUUUUAUUUUAUUUUUGAAGGAAAAUUACUUGUAUAUUUAAUACAUACUCUAAAGUAAUAUAUAUUCUAAAUUUUAAUAUCAUUAAAAUUUCUGGGAAAUUCUUUCAUUACAUAUAAUAUAGCUCAUAAUCUUAAAGAUAAAAGACUUGCGAUUUUCAAAAAAAGAAAAAAAGAAAAAAAAAAAGAAAGAAAAAAGGAUAAAAGACGUGCUGGAUGGUUAUUUUUAAUAAUUAUCAAAAUGAAUAGAAAUGUACUAAAACGUUAAAAAAUUUAAUCUAGGAGAACACUUGGCUGUAAUUAAUUGAUAUAAUCAAGGACAUCAAGUAGGAUUUUAUAAGAAAGUAUUGAUAGCUUGUGGAAUAAAUUGUUUACUUUGUGGCAAUAGCCAAAUGGAGAAAGAAACUAGAAUGAGGAGCUAGAUUAAUUAGAAAGCGAAUGUAGUGGGAAAAGUGUACCAAGAGAAAGUGGUGAUAGAAAGUUUAAAAGAUAAUAAGAGAUUAGAGGUCUAUGGAGGAAGUGUUAGAAGUGUAGAGAAAGUGUAGAUGAAGAAAAUGGUGGAAGGUGUAAGAAAAAGUGGAAAGAAAUGUAAAUAAGAGAGAAAUUAAAAGAGAGAGUGAAGACAAAAUGUAGAUGGAUAAUAUGAUUUAAGUGAAAAAGUAAAGGGAAGGAAGGUAGAGUAUAUAAAAGUGGAGAUAGAAUGCUGAAAACUAAAGAAAUGGAGGAAAAUAGAGAAAAAAAUGGAAGAGAAAGUAAGUAGAGAGAUGAAGAUAGAAGGGAGGAAAAGUAGAAAGUUAAAGAAAGGGAGGGGGAGUUUUUGAUAUUUUGAUUUUUUUUCCUUUUAAGUAUAUGUGUAAUGUACAUUCAUUGUAAAUUCAAUUGCAAUAACUUUUGGCUUCUAUUAUUUAAAAAAAAAUAAAAAUUAUUGUCUUUUUAUUUACUUCACUAGAAUACAAAGAUUUUCUUUGUCAAUUCCAACUCGAACCAACAAUAUCUUUGUUUAGCUAACCAUAGGCAAAAAAAUAAAAAAUAAAACUAGCACUUACUUUUCUAUAUAAAAUCUAUAUAGAAGACCCUGAUGAGAUGGUAUCAUAUGCUUGAAUAAAUUAAGGCACUAUUCCAAAGAUGAUGACGAUUUGGCUGAACACCCACCAAAUUUACCAAUAAGAAGCGCAUUGCAAUAACUUUUGGCUUCUAUUAUUUUAAAAAAUAUAUUAUUGUCUUUUUAUUUCCUUCACUAGAAUAUUUUGUCAAUUCCAACUCGAACCGACAGUAUUGGUUUGGCUUCCAUAGUUUGUUUUGCUAACCAUAGGCUGAAAAAAAUCAAACCAGCACAUAGUCCUCUAUACAAAAUUGAGGCCUUGAUGAGAUGGUAUUAUAUACUUGAACAAAUUGAGGCCAUUAUUCCAAGGAUGAUGAUUAUAACUCUAAGGAUGAUGAUGAUUUCGAUGAACACCCACCAAAUUCACCAAUAAGAUCAUCCAUAUUCAGAUUUUCCUGGGAAUAGACAUGUCCAUCUUCUACAAAAAAUGUUCAGGUGGUUCGCUUUUGAUAAUCAAAAAACAAUCAAGUAAGAUUCUCUUCUUCUUUAGCUUUAUAAAAGUAGAUAUCAGUAUCCAUUUAACUGCAGUUCAUGUUCUCACUCUGGCACAACCCUGCAGUUAUAGAUAAAUCAGAACAAAUACGAAUGCAUUUGUUAUUCUGCCGUUAGUCAUUUACAAACUUUUUUCCACACUAUUUUAAGAAUUUGUUUUUUCUAUGAUUUGAAAAGUUUAGAGGAUAGUCAAAAGUCAAUUAUUUUUAAUACAAUAUUACUGUGUCGAGAAAAAAAAAAAAAAAACUCACUAAUAAUUUAAAAUCUUGACAGAUUUUUAUAGAGCUACUAUUGUUGCAAUAUGCAAUUUAAUAUUAUUAUUAUUAUUAUUACUUUACAAAAAAUGCAUUUUUUUUUUUUAAUAAAAGAACAUGACAGUAUACUGUUUUGAUACACAAACCACUAUAGUGGACUAGCAAAGGCAUAUGGGCCGAUGAGCCUUGUGACCCAGCUUCCAAAGUGGGCCUAAGAUUCGUCCACUCAUUUGACUCGAUAUGGCAAUGAGCUGUGUGACCCACCUUCCAAAGUGGGCUUAAGAUUGGUCCACUCAUUUGACUCGAUAUGGCAAUGAGCCGUGUGACCCAACUUCCAAAGUAGGCCUGAGAUUUGUCCACCCAUUCGACUCGAUAUUUUUGCAUAUGUAUGUACGAUUAUUAUUAUUAUUAUUAUUUUUAAUACCAUGGUAUUGAAUUUUCUGCAUUGAAAUGGGAAAAGAUUAAGUUGAAAAUGGUGUGAAGAAUGGCGAAUUGUUUCAUACAAAAAAUAUGUCAAAUUAAUUAUUAUGUAAGUUAUCUUUCACUAAAUAUUGGUUUGAAUUUGAACCCACACAAAGAGAGUAGCUGGGUAUGGACCCAGUUCUUGUUUGUUUGUACGGAUAUGCAAAAUUUUAACCUUGCUAAUGGAAGUUAAAUCAUGCCAAAACGUACAAUUUUUUUUGUCCUGUUAGAUCAUUCCUUUUGUACCCUCUUAUUUCUCUCUCACCCCUUUUUUUUGGGAAAAUAUUUAAAGAAGAAGAAGAGCUAGCAAGAGCCUACAACAAACACAAUACUUGGAGGUUCUGUGCCAUUAGUUAUUGAUGAUGGUUUUUGCUAUAUAGCUUUUCUUGGAAAUUAGAAGAGCCUACAACAAACACAAACACAAUGCUGCACUUGACCAAUUAAAUUUGAGUUCAGAUUCAACCACAUUUUUGGCUUGAUAUUGAUCUUUUUCAAAGUCAGUUAAUAUGAAGGGGAAGCUCUAGUUUAUAUUAACAAACUGUCUUUCGUCUGUAAUAAAUCAUGAUUUUGUAUUCUUUGCUUACAAAGCAUAUAAAUAUAUGUCCGUUAUUCCAUUCCAUAUUUAUGUCUAGAGGGUUUCACUAGAAGAUUUUUUUUGUUUUUUUAAGUCACAAAAUUCUGACAAUAAAAUCAAAUUCUGUCACAAAAGCUAUAUAUAUAUAUAUAUAUAUAGAUGUAUAUACUUUUAUUUAUUUGUAAAUGGAGCAGCAAUUUAUAUCAUAAGCCUUAAUGCUUGGACGAAAAGAAAAAGAAAACAAUUCCCUAAGCUUAAUGAAGGUUUCAAAACAAUUGCAUAUAAAUUGUUGUGGAAAGAAAAAAGGAAAGACAGGAAAUAUAUUCUAAAGUGAAGGAGAGGCAGGACAUGGCGCCUAUUUUCAGUGGUUUUACCACUUGGUUAAGCUUAGGAAAUUCUUUAGAUAAUAUAUAUAUAUAUUUUUUUUCAAAUUUCUUGUUUCUAGAAAUAAAUAAAACUAAGUGAUUGUACUAUAUUUCUUAACUCUAAGAUCAGUUGCCUGCACCGGGACCGCUACCUUGGAAUAUCUCAUCAUUAAUAGUUUUGAUUUGUUGGAGAGAAUAGGCGAUGACUUUUACAGUGAUGCUGGUGAUGAUGGUGAUUUAUUCUCCUUGUGUGAUAAGUAAACCAUUCAAGUUGUUAAAUUGCUUGGAAUUUUCAAGAAUUGCGGGGUGGAGGGAGUGGUAAAUGGUGAACAUAGAAGAAGGUUGUGGAGUUUUCUAGGAGCUUGAGUUGUCACACUGUCCAAGGCUAAAAGGGGAAUGCUUAAUGGAAUAUCUUUUAUUAUUGGAAACUUUAGGAUAAUUGAAAGUCACAAUGCUCCAAAACCUGAAGCUAUUUCCUUAGGUGAGGGAUAAGGGAUUUCGAUUGAGUUUCUACAAUCUAAAACAUCUUUCUUUCUGCCAUCACCUGCAUAGCUUACCAGAAGAAGUUCUUCUCAUUUCUCUUUCCUUUUUGACUACCUAACUUACUAUGUCCUUAACUACAACUCAUAUGAUCAAAACAUGCAUGUUUCCCUGCUUGUCAUAUAAUGUAUCGCCUUAGUAAGAAAGAUCUCUAACUAGGGUUUUCCAGUUCAAACUAUUUUCUUUUUGAGGCUUUUUGUUUUUCAAACCGUUGUAUAAUAUAUAUGCUCUCGUUGUAAUCGGAACUGAGUAAGAUUCACUUAUAUUUUCUUUACAUAGAUGUAGUUAUACUUCAUAUAAUGUUCGAUACUCAUUUUUAUGCAGUCCAUAUCCUGUAAUAAUAUCCUCUGUUAUCUGCCUCUAAAGUCCCAAACAGAGAAAAAGAAAACGCGGUGAAUUUCUUAUUUUGAUCUUGGUAUGUUGCACAUUCUUUCCUUUUCUAUCAUAACUAACUUGUGAUAAUGUCUCAUUUCUAACUUCUCUUAAUAUAAUUUAUGAUUCUGGAAGCAAACUUUUGUUAUUCAAAUUAGCUGAUUCAAUAACCGAACUCUUUUCGGUUUUGAAAUACAGCUUUAGCUCAUCUUCACCAUUUCAGUCUUCCGGUAAUUAAUACCUGCUGCCACAGAUUCUUUGAUUGUUUCAAAGUGGUUGUGGGAACUGGGAAUUGAGUCCAUAUCCAAGAAACUAUGAAACUUCAUUUUCUGUAAUCCCAGCACAUGGUUGUUGGUGUUUUUGUGUCCUCUACUUUUCAUAGCUAUUCAACAUGUGGCUCUUGUCUAUUGCAGUUAGCAUCCCUGCAAAACUGAUUGCAUUUUAGAUAUUUGAGUUCCUAAAGAUGAACUUCCUUAGUUCAUAGAGGUGACAAAAACUCCAUAUCACACAUUAAGGAAAGGACAAUUAUUUAUUUUAUACCAGCUUCAACCUAAGACUGCCGGUUUUUCUGCACGAAAUUAGAGGAUGUUUAAAGCAUAUGACAGCGGGGUACUGCCAGUAAUAGGUUAUCUGCUGCUAUUUGUAAGAUCUGCUUCUUUGGCUGUUGCACCAAUGUACCUAUCUUGUAUUAUACUUAUGUUGCAACUAGGUAUUAUACUUGUGUUGCAACUAGCAUCUCCUUAUGAAAUUAAUAGGUUACUUGAUGCUUUUUAGAGUUGUCUUCCAUGUGAUAGUCUUGUUUUGGUGCCUCUUUCCUUCUAUCAAAUCUCGCUGUUUGUCCUUCUCUUUAUGUUUCUAACUCCAGAAAUUUUUGUGCAUAAUCUUUGGAAGCAUAGAGAUAAAUGUGUGUCAUUACUUUUUAUAACUUCAAGAAUUCUUGACAGGGCUAUAAUUUGCUGACUAAUCUUCGAUUGGCCUGAACGAAUCCGCCUGAUUUCACUAUGGCUCAUACCAACAACUGGUGGAACCUUGAUUAUUAAAUUUUGAUUAUUGGAGUAUCUGCAGCAUACCAAGAAAAAACGCUAAUCUUAUUGAAUAACUAUUAGAAUUUAAUUGUGUAAUAAAACUUUCAUGAUGGCAUUUGUCACUUUUUUGUUUAAUUUUGUUCUUGCAUGACUUGUAGCAGAAGAUAUUGUAAUUCAGUUCUAGCUGUGAACAUGCAUUUUCCUUUA